This 122-nucleotide microRNA precursor is filed under the name Gossypium arboreum. RNAcentral's name for it is "MIR7504 microRNA precursor family". It matches the Rfam family "MIR7504 microRNA precursor family". The record is from Rfam by way of RNAcentral. Lineage: Eukaryota; Viridiplantae; Streptophyta; Magnoliopsida; Malvales; Malvaceae.
AACAUGAGAAUGACAAAUAAGAUUUUUCCUUCUGAUUUUCAGCUUUUUUCUCCUGAAAAAUUCAAAUCCAUCUAAAAAUAUUAAAAAUCAAGAGAAAAAAUCUGAUUUGUCAUUCUCCUAUU